AACGAACGCUGGCGGCAGGCUUAACACAUGCAAGUCGAACGGACGUAGCAAUACGUUAGUGGCGCACGGGUGAGUAACACGUGGAUAUCUGCCUUUUGGUUCGGGAUAACCCUGGGAAACUAGGGCUAAUACCGAAUGGUUCCUACGGGAUAAAGAUUUAUCGCCAAAAGAUGAGUCCGCGUCCGAUUAGCUAGUUGGUGAGGUAAUGGCUCACCAAGGCGACGAUCGGUAGCUGGUCUGAGAGGACGAUCAGCCACACUGGGACUGAGACACGGCCCAGACUCCUACGGGAGGCAGCAGUGGGGAAUUUGGACAAUGGGCGAAAGCCUGAUCCAGCCAUGCCGCGUGCGGGAAGAAGGCCUUCGGUUG
RNAcentral lists this ribosomal RNA (369 nucleotides) under uncultured bacterium. Its description in RNAcentral is "bacterial SSU rRNA". It matches the Rfam family "Bacterial small subunit ribosomal RNA", at positions 29 to 425 of the family's 1533-position model. The record is from RNAcentral.